CCUACGGGAGGCAGCAGUGGGGAAUUUUCCGCAAUGGGCGAAAGCCUGACGGAGCAACGCCGCGUGAGGGAUGAAGGCCUCUGGGCUGUAAACCUCUUUUAUCAAGGAAGAAGAUCUGACGGUACUUGAUGAAUAAGCCACGGCUAAUUCCGUGCCAGCAGCCGCGGUAAUACGGGAGUGGCAAGCGUUAUCCGGAAUUAUUGGGCGUAAAGCGUCCGCAGGCGGUCUUGUAAGUCUGUCGUUAAAGCGUGGAGCUUAACUCCAUUUCGGCGGUGGAAACUACAAGACUAGAGUGUGGUAGGGGCGGAGGGAAUUCCCGGUGUAGCGGUGAAAUGCGUAGAUAUCGGGAAGAACACCAGUGGCGAAGGCGCUCUGCUGGGCCAUAACUGACGCUCAUGGACGAAAGCUAGGGGAGCGAAAGGGAUUAGAUACCCCUGUAGUCCUAGCCGUAAACGAUGAACACUAGGUGUCGGGGAAUCGACCCCCUCGGUGUCGUAGCUAACGCGUUAAGUGUUCCGCCUGGGGUAGUACGCGACGCGAGUGUGAACGUACGAAGAAGUAGACGGCGUGAGACGUGCCGACGGACGACGACGAGGGAGGUAGG
RNAcentral lists this ribosomal RNA (604 nucleotides) under uncultured bacterium. Its description in RNAcentral is "bacterial SSU rRNA". The stretch from base 1 to 520 matches the Rfam family "Bacterial small subunit ribosomal RNA", at positions 338 to 873 of the family's 1533-position model. The record is from RNAcentral.